Molecule: ribosomal RNA, 484 nt
Filed under: uncultured bacterium
Lineage: Bacteria
Description: partial 16S ribosomal RNA
Rfam family: Bacterial small subunit ribosomal RNA
Source: RNAcentral
AUUGAACGCUGGCGGCAGGCCUAACACAUGCAAGUCGAGCGGAUGAAGGGAGCUUGCUCCUGGAUUCAGCGGCCGACGGGCGGGUAAGGCCCAGGAAGCUGCCCUGUAUUUGGGGCUAACGUCCGGUAACGGGCGCUGAUAUCGCAUAGGUCCUGAUGGUGAACGUGGUGGUUCAUUGGACCUCGCGCUAUUAGAUGACCCUAGGACGGAUUAGCUAGUUGGUUGGGUAACGGCCUACCAAGGCGACGAUCCGUAACUGGUCUGAGAGGAUGAUCAGUCACACUGGAACUGAGACACGGUCCAGACUCCUACGGGAGGCAGCAGUAGGGAAUAUUGGACAAUGGGCGAAAGCCUGAUCCAGCAAUGCCGCGUGUGUGAAGAAGGUCUUCGGAUUGUAAAGCUCUUUAAGUUGGGAGGAAGGGAAGUAAGAUAAUACCUUGCUGUUUUGACGGUACCAACAGAAAAAGCACCGGCUAACUUCGUG